GAUGAAGAACGUAGUGAAAUGCGAUAAGUAAUGUGAAUUGCAGAAUUCAGUGAAUCAUCGAAUCUUUGAACGCACAUUGCGCCCCUUGGUAUUCCGGGGGGCAUGCCUGUUCGAGCGUCAUUUCAACCCUCAAGCUCAGCUUGGUAUUGAGUCCAUGUCAGUAAUGGCAGGCUCUAAAAUCAGUGGCGGCGCCGCUGGGUCCUGAACGUAGUAACAUCUCUCGUUACAGGUUCUCGGUGUGCUUCUGCCAAAACCCAAAUUUUCUAUGGUUGACCUCGGAUCAGGUAGGGAUACCCGCUGAACUUAAGCAUAUCAAUAAGCGGAGGA
RNAcentral lists this unclassified non-coding RNA (327 nucleotides) under soil metagenome. Its description in RNAcentral is "partial contains 5.8S ribosomal RNA, internal transcribed spacer 2, and large subunit ribosomal RNA". The stretch from base 1 to 120 matches the Rfam family "5.8S ribosomal RNA", at positions 35 to 154 of the family's 154-position model. The record is from RNAcentral.